CCUACGGGAGGCAGCAGUGAGGAAUAUUGGUCAAUGGACGAGAGUCUGAACCAGCCAAGUAGCGUGAAGGAUGACUGCCCUAUGGGUUGUAAACUUCUUUUAUAUGGGAAUAAAACGUUCCACGUGUGGGAUUUUGUAUGUACCAUAUGAAUAAGGAUCGGCUAACUCCGUGCCAGCAGCCGCGGUAAUACGGAGGAUCCGAGCGUUAUCCGGAUUUAUUGGGUUUAAAGGGUGCGUAGGUGGAUUGUUAAGUCAGUUGUGAAAGUUUGCGGCUCAACCGUAAAAUUGCAGUUGAAACUGGCAGUCUUGAGUACAGUAGAGGUGGGCGGAAUUCGUGGUGUAGCGGUGAAAUGCUUAGAUAUCACGAAGAACUCCGAUUGCGAAGGCAGUUCACUGGACUGCAACUGACACUGAGGCUCGAAAGUGUGGGUAUCAAACAGGAUUAGAUACUCGUGUAGUC
Molecule: ribosomal RNA, 460 nt
Filed under: uncultured bacterium
Lineage: Bacteria
Description: partial 16S ribosomal RNA
Rfam family: Bacterial small subunit ribosomal RNA
Source: RNAcentral